This 492-nucleotide ribosomal RNA is filed under the name uncultured bacterium. RNAcentral describes it as "partial 16S ribosomal RNA". It matches the Rfam family "Bacterial small subunit ribosomal RNA", at positions 29 to 507 of the family's 1533-position model. The record is from RNAcentral.
AGUGAACGCUGGCGGCAGGCUUAACACAUGCAAGUCGAACGGCAGCACAGUAAGAGCUUGCUCUUACGGGUGGCGAGUGGCGGACGGGUGAGGAAUACAUCGGAAUCUACUUUUUCGUGGGGGAUAACGUAGGGAAACUUACGCUAAUACCGCAUACGACCUACGGGUGAAAGCAGGGGAUCUUCGGACCUUGCGCGAUUGAAUGAGCCGAUGUCGGAUUAGCUAGUUGGCGGGGUAAAGGCCCACCAAGGCGACGAUCCGUAGCUGGUCUGAGAGGAGGAUCAGCCACACUGGAACUGAGACACGGUCCAGACUCCUACGGGAGGCAGCAGUGGGGAAUAUUGGACAAUGGGCGCAAGCCUGAUCCAGCCAUACCGCGUGGGUGAAGAAGGCCUUCGGGUUGUAAAGCCCUUUUGUUGGGAAAGAAAAGCAGCAGGUUAAUACCCCGCUGUUCUGACGGUACCCGAAGAAUAAGCACCGGCUAACUUCGUG